This 283-nucleotide unclassified non-coding RNA is filed under the name Hevea brasiliensis (rubber tree). The record is from RNAcentral. Lineage: Eukaryota; Viridiplantae; Streptophyta; Magnoliopsida; Malpighiales; Euphorbiaceae.
GAAUUAAUCCCUUGAUUAUAGGAAUUUACAUCAAUCUAAUUUAUACAUUCCUAUUCUAACAAUGUGCCAUACGUAUUUUUGUCUGAAGAGAUCUGAUGUGUUGCCAUAUAUCCUUUUUCAAGAGAACUUGCAUCUCACAUCAUUAGACAGGACUGCUAGUUGAUAGAUUAGCAAUUUGAACAUGAUCUUUGAAUGCCAAAGUUCUAUUCCCUCUUUAGAUGUUGAAGUAUAGACAUGGAACUUGGUAUGUGUUAUUUCUUAUAAAUUGUGGAUUGAUCUUCAC